This is a non-coding RNA of Misgurnus anguillicaudatus (oriental weatherfish), 1515 nucleotides long. NCBI's taxonomy places the organism in Eukaryota, Metazoa, Chordata, Actinopteri, Cypriniformes, Cobitidae. The record is from RefSeq and is a predicted model, not a curated record.
GUUUAAACCGCGUAACAUAAUUUUAUUCACACAUAAAAUGUUGUAUGACAAAAAGCACGAUGCCAAUUAAUUGUGUUUUUCUGUAAAUUGUGAACGUAUCCGUUAUAAUGGUUUAUUCGCUAUUCCACGGGAUGUUCCCGCCGAAAUUGGACUACGGUUACAUGAAUAUGAUUGUAAUAUGAAUAUUAAUCAAUUAAUAUUAUAUCGGGUGUUAUCAACUUAACCACAUUGUUGUUUAUUGCUUCAGAAAAGCACAUAAAUGUAAGGGCUUUUUGGACAACUGUUCGGUAGAAAAGCGUUGAUAUCGUAGUUCAGUCAGUUUAUCCGAGAGGUCUUACAGGCGCCACAGACACCUCUGUCAGAGUCAUUUGUAAAGAGGAGCAGCACGGCAGCUGGAUGAGUGCGGUCAGUUAAUUAAUGCUGCUUGCUUAAUUUCGUGUUACUGAUUAAGUGUUUAUACUUAAAGUUAGAUGAUAUGUUGGUGUUUUAUGGCUCGCGGAUUUGCAAUAACUGCAUUUAUCAGGCAAUCACACGUUACGUCACACGCUUAUGCUUGUACCUGCGGUCGCUCGCGCUGUAUCCACAAUUUAAAGCAGAGAAUAGACUCUGAACUCCUUUGUAAGAAAAAGUCAAGCAGUGUAAGUUUUUGGCAUGUGCUAUUUGAAUUGAAAUGAAGUGUAAUGGUGUUAUUUUGCUUACUUCUCUUGAUGAAUAAUUAGCACGUUUAAUGGAACUUGAAAAUAUUAGUUAUAUAUAAAUGUGCUCUUGUUUUCAGUGUAUUUUUAUAAAUCUUUUGUAAUGUCUUUGUUAUCAGAGCCCUUCAAAUUAAACAGUGAUGGUGAUCUUGUCAAUGCUGAGAUUUUAAUGCAUCAACAGCCAUUACAUCUGUCUGGAUCAGGAUUGAACAAGAAACAGACAGCAAGGGUUGUCAGGUCAGAAACGUGAUGACACACAAACAUAUGAAACUUCACAGGCGGCAAUUUCUUUUUCCACUGGUGGGUGCUCAUCACAACCUCCAGCUUUACUGGACACCAGGUGCUCUGGAGCGCUCAAAAGCUUUGAAGAGGUGGAAAGCAGUGCAGUCAUGUUUUCGUGUGAUUUUAGAUGCGAAUUGUAAAGUUAAAGGCAGACCACCAUGCAACUUGGUGAAGUCACGUGUCUUUCCAGAUGCCAAAAUCUGUACCCCUCAAAAAGACUUUAUUAAAUGCCAUGAUAGCCAAGAUGAGCCUGAAGAGGAGAUUUGGGAAGAUGCUGUUUCAUAAGUCUUUGUUUUGCCAGAUUAUCUGUGGUAGGGGUGUCUGCCAACGUGAUGCCUUGCUGGUCUGGUUUGAGUUUGAAGUCUCUCACAGACAGUCCAGAAGGUCUGGAGUCCAUCUUAGCUUUCAUUGAUGCUGUCAUCAUAUUGUUAGUGCAUGAGCCAGAAUGGAUGGGUGGUGGUGGCCAUAAGACGACUGUCAACUAAACCAACAACAAAAUUCAUAUUUGCAGUAAUAAAUAAAAUGACUUUUAAACAUG